CGAGCCGGCCGGGCGGCCGCGUCGGGGACCACGGUCCCCGCCGAGGAAGGUCCGGGCUCCACAGGGCAGGGUGGUCGGUAACGCCGACCCGGGGCGACCCGCGGGAAAGUGCCACAGAGAACAGACCGCCACCGACCCGUUCGGUGGUAAGGGUGAAACGGUGAGGUAAGAGCUCACCAGCGCCCAGGGUGACCUGGGCGGCUCGGUAAACCCCACCCGGAGCAAGGUCAAGAAGGAGGGCCACGGCUCUCCGCGCAGGCGUCUGAGGGCGGCCCGCCCGAGCCUGCGGGUAGACCGCUGGAGGCUGUCGGCAACGGCAGCCCGAGAUGGAUGGCCGCCACCCGCGCACGCGGGCACAGAACCCGGCCUACAGGCCGACUCGUCCG
RNAcentral lists this RNase P RNA (386 nucleotides) under Thermomonospora cellulosilytica. RNAcentral describes it as "Bacterial RNase P class A". It matches the Rfam family "Bacterial RNase P class A". From Rfam's summary of the family: Ribonuclease P (RNase P) is a ubiquitous endoribonuclease, found in archaea, bacteria and eukarya as well as chloroplasts and mitochondria. Its best characterised activity is the generation of mature 5'-ends of tRNAs by cleaving the 5'-leader elements of precursor-tRNAs. Lineage: Bacteria; Bacillati; Actinomycetota; Actinomycetes; Streptosporangiales; Thermomonosporaceae. The record is from Rfam by way of RNAcentral.